RNAcentral lists this long non-coding RNA (767 nucleotides) under Equus caballus (horse). RNAcentral's name for it is "lncRNA (ENSECAG00000052380.1)". The record is from RNAcentral. Lineage: Eukaryota; Metazoa; Chordata; Mammalia; Perissodactyla; Equidae.
AUCAAUGUAGGUCCAUCAGUUGUAACAAAGCGGGCAGGACAAGAAGAAAAGGUGAAGAAGGUGUGGUGUGAGAUGGUGCAGGAGAGGUUGGCUAAUUCUAUUCCAGCAGCUAACCCGUAAUCACUACAUGACAAGGGAAGCUGAGGCCCAGAGGACUGAGACAACUUGUGCGUAAUCACCUUUUUCAGAUUCACAAUCAUGAAAGUAUCAUGAAGAAUUUCAAAGGUUCACUCUCCACCCUUUUCCACCUGCUCUGUGUCCAGAGAGGCUGACCUGUGUGGACUGACAAAGAGGCCCUUGUCCUCUGGCUUACAACUGGGCCCGGACAAUGAGGCGCGACAGCAGGAGACAGAAGCGAGCACCAGUAGAGGGUAAGAGGAAUAUAGGAAGAAAUGAAGGAGGAAAAGAGCAAGUGAGAGAGAAUCAGAAGAAGAGCAAGAGUGACCAAGAGAGAGGGAAGAGAUUAAGAAAAAGCGAUCGGGACAUACAAGUAUGUUUUAUGCAAUCUUGAAAGGAGACGCUUGGAUCACUGGCAGAAGAUGGGUUUCUAACUUACAGCCACUUUAUAAAUUCUGAUUCUUCUCACAGAAGAAUAAUUUUAAGCCCAUGUGGGGCUAGGCAAUUUUGUUUUAGAAUUUAACUUUAGAGCUAAUAAUUUUAAUACACAAAAAUUAUUAUUAAUAACUCUUAUGGUAUCCUGACAAUGUGUUAGACACUGAAUUCUCAAGUAGAUUAAGAGGAAACAUUUCUUAUUAGUAUGAAACAAC